This is a long non-coding RNA of Solea solea (common sole), 1827 nucleotides long. RefSeq lists it as uncharacterized. The record is from RefSeq and is a predicted model, not a curated record. NCBI's taxonomy places the organism in Eukaryota, Metazoa, Chordata, Actinopteri, Pleuronectiformes, Soleidae. The transcript has 2 exons.
UUAGAUGAGAGGGGACUGCGUUGCAGAGUAGGGAGACAGGCAGAAAAUGUCACCAGAAAACGGCACCAUCACAGAGAAGAAACAGACACCAUCGCAGCACCUAAACUGGGUCUAUGCCAACUGAGAGCAAAAACUGGAUUAAAUUUACUUUUGGAGCUUUGACUUGUUACGACCAUGCCGGAAUUAUCAAGGACACAGGUUCACCAUGUUCACAUCAACAUGUUCCUCCAGUCACGGAUGACGGCAUGACAGCUCUUUAAACAGACAGAAGCUACAAAUCCUCACAUUUCACACAUCAGGAGUGCCGCAUGAGGCCUGUAAACAAACCACCCUGUGACUGCAGAUCCACGCUAUUAAAAGUUACAUUCAGCUCCGAUAAACAAAGUUAACCUUUUAGUGGCAUGAAAUUCUCAGUUGACUGCAGAAAAGCUUGGCCCUGUCAUUUUAAGAUAAAACCUGUUGCUAGUGGCAACAGCACAGUCGGCACUGCUGUCACUGUGGACACGACGGAUAAAUAUCACCGACUCUUAUCUCUGGGUGGCCAAUAAAUGUAAUUCUUUUGGAUGUUUCGGUGUUUACAACAGUGUGACGGAUAUUUAUGACACCUGACACAAGCCUCUGCAGGAAGAUACACAUUUUUUUUAAGUUGGGGGCCGUUUUAAAACCAUUUUUAAUCAACUCUAACAUGUAUGGCUAUGCUGUUAGAGUUGAUUAAACAUCAGGAGAAAUUGUUGUGUUCUUUUUAUUUUAAUUAUAAGUAUUUCAGUUGAUUUACCGAUGACCCAAUUGUAAUCCCUCCCUGACUCAGGCCUUGUGUAGAAGUUGUUCCCUGUGAUGGUGCAAACGUUUGAUCAGGUUUUCCUCUAUUUUACUCUAUUGCUUUACAUAUGUGUCUCCAAUAAAAUAAAAUAAGUAUGGGACUGUAAACAAGGCAAUGAAGAGACAUUAAGAAAGUAAUAACAAGUGAUAAACAGAGUUAAAGAACCUUAUCCAACAACAUGUGAACUGUUUGACCCCUAAAAUUAUUCCCUAAAUUGAAAAAACUUCAUCAAAUGAAGUGUUGCGAACUGAAAGUUUUAAUCUCUGAGUGUUCUGACUGUUAAUGUUAAUGUAAGACUGGGAGAAGGCCAGAUUUUAUAUAUAUACAGUAUAUAUACACACAUAUGUAUGAAAAAAAUAAAAGCUUGGCUUGGUGUACUAAUCACGCACUAAUUAGAGCUCAGCUUCUGUAGCCAGGCAGCAGCUCAAGCUGUACAAGUCAGCGCGACAGGCAGCACCCUGAUCCUGUAUCCUGCACCAACACGAUGCUCAGCCCACUUUAAUGCACGGCUGAAUCAGAAUCUCUACCGUUCUUCACUGUACGGUCACAACAACCUACGACUACUUGAAUGAACUCUGACCAGAGCGGCAUCGAGAAGAACAGAAAAAAAAAAACAGAUGCAGGAAGAAGCAUGGACGUGAACCUAAUCACUGUCAUCAUGUUGUUUGUCUGAAAAACUGUGUAGUGAAGCAUUACUGAUGAAAAGCUGAUGAUGAUGUUUGAGAUUCAUUUCUUGUCUUGUCCACAGUGUUUGUGUGUGUAUUUGUGUCCUUAAAUUGCUUACAUGAUUAAACUGGUCGAAGUGCAGUCGGUUCAACCAUAGUGCUGCCGUGCUGCCCACUAAUAUUUCUCUGUGUUGUCAGUCCCUUGUGAGAACUUCUCUUUAGUUGCAGGCAUGCUCUGUGAGGUCUUGUUUGUUUUUGCUUCACUGUAUGUGUCACUAAAAUGUAGGAAAAGAACCUUAGACAGAAAGGUAGUGGAAUAAAAAAUGCUUGAUUGUGUGUCAA